UCUUCUCCUGUGAAGCUAUGCUGUUGUGAUGAUUGCAGUAUGGGGUUUAGUAUUGCCUUGCUGAAAUACUCCACAGUUUUCCACUCUG
Melanotaenia boesemani (Boeseman's rainbowfish) is the source of this 88-nucleotide long non-coding RNA. RefSeq lists it as uncharacterized. NCBI's taxonomy places the organism in Eukaryota, Metazoa, Chordata, Actinopteri, Atheriniformes, Melanotaeniidae. The transcript has 3 exons. The record is from RefSeq and is a predicted model, not a curated record.